Molecule: ribosomal RNA, 253 nt
Filed under: uncultured bacterium
Lineage: Bacteria
Description: partial 16S ribosomal RNA
Rfam family: Bacterial small subunit ribosomal RNA
Source: RNAcentral
CGUAGGUGCAAGCGUUAAUUGGAAUUACUGGGCGUAAAGCGUGCGCAGGCGGCUUUGCAAGACAGAUGUGAAAUCCCCGGGCUCAACCUGGGAACGUGCAUUGUUGACUGCAUGGCUAGAGUACGGUAGGAGGGGAGUGAAUUCCGCGUGUAGCAGUGAAAUGCGUAGAUAUGCGGAGGAACACCGAUGGCGAAGGCAAUCCCCUGGACCUGUACUGACGCUCAUGCACGAAAGCGUGGGAGCAAACAGGAUU